AACAGGAUUAGAUACCCUGGUAGUCCACGCCCUAAACGAUGUCUACUAGUUGUCGGGUUUUAAUUAACUUGGUAACGCAGCUAACGCGUGAAGUAGACCGCCUGGGGAGUACGGUCGCAAGAUUAAAACUCAAAGGAAUUGACGGGGACCCGCACAAGCGGUGGAUGAUGUGGAUUAAUUCGAUGCAACGCGAAAAACCUUACCUACCCUUGACAUGUCAGGAAUCCUCGAGAGAUUGAGGAGUGCUCGAAAGAGAGCCUGAACACAGGUGCUGCAUGGCUGUCGUCAGCUCGUGUCGUGAGAUGUUGGGUUAAGUCCCGCAACGAGCGCAACCCUUGUCAUUAGUUGCUACGAAAGGGCACUCUAAUGAGACUGCCGGUGACAAACCGGAGGAAGGUGGGGAUGACGUCAAGUCCUCAUGGCCCUUAUGGGUAGGGCUUCACACGUCAUACAAUGGUACAUACAGAGGGCCGCCAACCCGCGAGGGGGAGCUAAUCCCAGAAAGUGUAUCGUAGUCCGGAUUGUAGUCUGCAACUCGACUACAUGAAGUUGGAAUCGCUAGUAAUCGCGGAUCAGCAUGUCGCGGUGAAUACGUUCCCGGGUCUUGUACACACCGCCCGUCACACCAUGGGAGCGGGUUUUACCAGAAGUAGGUAGCUUAACCGCAAGGAGGGCGCUUACCACGGUAGGAUUCGUGACUGGGGUGAAGUCGUAACAAGGUAACC
RNAcentral lists this ribosomal RNA (725 nucleotides) under uncultured bacterium. RNAcentral describes it as "bacterial SSU rRNA". It matches the Rfam family "Bacterial small subunit ribosomal RNA", at positions 771 to 1501 of the family's 1533-position model. The record is from RNAcentral.